UCCCGCGUAGCUCAAUCGGCAGAGCGUCCGGCUGUUAACCGGUAGGUUGGAGGUUCGAGUCCUCCCGCGGGAG
Molecule: transfer RNA, 73 nt
Filed under: Actinomycetota bacterium
Lineage: Bacteria; Bacillati; Actinomycetota
Also listed under: 1 other name
Description: Actinobacteria bacterium tRNA-Asn
Rfam family: tRNA
About the family: Transfer RNA (tRNA) molecules are approximately 80 nucleotides in length.
Source: RNAcentral